RNAcentral lists this ribosomal RNA (262 nucleotides) under uncultured bacterium. RNAcentral describes it as "partial 16S ribosomal RNA". It matches the Rfam family "Bacterial small subunit ribosomal RNA", at positions 511 to 772 of the family's 1533-position model. The record is from RNAcentral.
GCAGCCGCGGUAAUACGGGGGGCGCAAGCGUUGCUCGGAAUCACUGGGCGUAAAGCGUACGCAGGCGGCGUCGUAAGUCAGGGGUGAAAUCCCGGGGCUCAACCCCGGAACUGCCCUUGAAACUGCAGCGCUAGAAUCUUGGAGAGGCGAGUGGAAUUCCGAGUGUAGAGGUGAAAUUCGUAGAUAUUCGGAAGAACACCAGUGGCGAAGGCGACUCGCUGGACAAGUAUUGACGCUGAGGUGCGAAAGCGUGGGGAGCAAA